This 402-nucleotide ribosomal RNA is filed under the name bacterium. RNAcentral's name for it is "partial 16S ribosomal RNA". It matches the Rfam family "Bacterial small subunit ribosomal RNA", at positions 355 to 776 of the family's 1533-position model. The record is from RNAcentral.
UGGGGAAUUUUGCACAAUGGGGGAAACCCUGAUGCAGCGACGCCGCGUGAUUUAGAAGGCCUUCGGGUUGUAAAAAUCUUUUCUAUGGGAAGAAAAUGACAGUACCAUAGGAAUAAGGACCGGCAAAUUACGUGCCAGCAGCCGCGGUAAUACGUAAGGUCCGAGCGUUGUCCGGAAUCAUUGGGCGUAAAGGGUACGUAGGCGGGUAAGCAAGUUAGAAGUGAAAUCCUAUAGCUCAACUAUAGUAAGCUUUUAAAACUGCUCAUCUUGAGGUAUGGAAGGGAAAGUGGAAUUCCUAGUGUAGCGGUGAAAUGCGCAGAUAUUAGGAGGAGUACCGGUGGCGAAGGCGACUUUCUGGCCAUAACCUGACGCUGAGGUACGAAAGCGUGGGUAGCAAACAGG